RNAcentral lists this ribosomal RNA (489 nucleotides) under uncultured Acidobacteriota bacterium. Its description in RNAcentral is "bacterial SSU rRNA". It matches the Rfam family "Bacterial small subunit ribosomal RNA", at positions 888 to 1377 of the family's 1533-position model. The record is from RNAcentral. Lineage: Bacteria; Pseudomonadati; Acidobacteriota.
GCAAGGCUGAAACUCAAAGGAAUUGACGGGGGCCCGCACAAGCGGUGGAGCAUGUGGUUCAAUUCGACGCAACGCGAAGAACCUUACCCAGGCUUGAACAGCGAGUCACAUCCGGCGAAAGCCGGCUCCCGCAAGGGGACUCGUAGAGGUGCUGCAUGGCUGUCGUCAGCUCGUGUCGUGAGAUGUUGGAAAAAGUCCCGCAACGAGCGCAACCCUUGUCCUCUGUUGCCAUCAGGUUAUGCUGGGCACUCUGAGGAGACUGCCGGUGAUAAACCGGAGGAAGGUGGGGAUGACGUCAAGUCAGCAUGGCCUUUAUGUCUGGGGCUACACACGUGCUACAAUGGCCGGUACAAACCGUCGCGAUACCGCAAGGUGGAGCUAAUCGGAGAAAGCCGGUCUCAGUUCGGAUUGCAGCCUGCAGGUAGGGCUGCAUGAAGUUGGAAUCGCUAGUAAUCGCGGAUCAGCACGCCGCGGUGAAUACGUUCCCGG